Molecule: long non-coding RNA, 8464 nt
Organism: Stegodyphus dumicola
Lineage: Eukaryota; Metazoa; Arthropoda; Arachnida; Araneae; Eresidae
Gene: Ehbp1
Source: RefSeq, a predicted model, not a curated record
AUUGCAGACUGGCAAAAAACAGAAGUGGAUAAAGCCCGAGAGCAGCGCCUGCUGGAAGAACUUGUGGUUAUUGUAAACAAGAGAGAUGAACUUGUUCAGGAUUUGCAUACGCAAGAGCAAGCAAUUGAGGAAGAUGAAUUAGUGGCCAAAGAUACACAAACUGCCAUUCUCCGCCCAGAGAGAGGUUGCGUUGUGCAAUAAACCUUUCUCAGUUACUUGCACUUUCAGUACAUGGAUAUGGAGAUCACCAAAGCUUUCUGUUAAGCAAGAUGCUGACUCCGGAAAUUGCUUUAUUACACUCUUCAAAUGUCCCUUUUCCAUCUUCAGUUAUAUGCUGAUCAGUGAGGCAGAGAAAAAUAUCUUGCUUGAAUGAAUUUUAUGUCAUUUUAUAAAAACAAAAUGAUCUGAUAUAAUUAUUUUUAAUUUUUAUUUUUAUUCAUUAUUUCUAUGUAAUGUUUUAGAAUCUUUUUUUUUUUCGCCCUUUGAUCAUAAUAGUGGAGACGCAUUAAAAUGUGUAAUAUCUUAUGACAAAAGCACAGACCUUAUGAUCUUAGCAAAUGUCCUGCAGUUUUACAUUUGUGGCUAGUGUAGUGGUACUAUGUGCGUUAUUUUUCUUCUUGAAUUAGCAUUUUUAUAUCUUUCAUGGGUAUUUAUCAAAGAUAUUUAAAAAGUGAGAUAUAAUAUUUGUUCUUAGGUAUUUUUAUAUUAGUUUUUGCAUUUCAUAGAUUCUAUAAUGAACUUAAUUUGAUGGUACUGUUUAUAGUUUUGAUUAUUAUUAUUAAAACUUGAAUGUGGCAUAUAUGAAGAUAAUGUGAAUUUAUAAAAUAUAAUUUUCAUUUUUUAUGAUACGUUUUUAGUACUUAUGUCAUUUUUCAAAUUAAUAGUUAUCUAAGGAAAUUUGCUGUGUGUGUUCAGUGUUAAAAUAUACAUAUGUUUUCUAUGAAUUUCUGUUAAGUGUGUCAUGUUAUUUUGACUUUAAUUUCUUAAAAUAAGCAUUCAUCGUGAAACACUUAUAUACAUAUAUGUACAUUUUUAUUAUAUUUUACUUGUUUGUAUUAACUUUCUUUUUGUCAACAUGAUAAAAAAAUAUGAGAAAAUUUAAGUACGUGAUUUUCUUCUUGAAAAAUCAAGAAUUUGUAUUCAGAUUUCGCUUGUAAUGUCUUUACAGCUUUAACUAUUAAAAAAAGUUAAAACUAUAUUUAUGCAUUGAAAUGGCCUGUACUGAGACGUUAAGCCAAUGAUUUUAUAGUUAUCUUUUAUAUUCUUUAGUCAUCUUUACAUUAGCUGCUCGGUAUUAACUAUGUGAAACUUCUAUGCAAGAUAAUUUUAAUGCUGUAUAACUAACUCGUGACUAUUAACGGUGGCUUGUUUAUACAGUCAGAAUUGUAUGUUUAUAUGUAAUUUUAGCUAAAUCCUGUAGUUUACUAAAUGCUAUUGUAUGUAGUGCAUACAUUUUGUGUAUUUAUGUGUCAAAGUGAAUGAAUUUGUCAUUUAACUGCGUAGCUAACGGAUAUCAUCUAAAAAGGAUUUUAAUUAAUUUAUUAUUAAUGUUACAAUUUAACUAGGAUAUUUAUGACCAGAUAGUUAUAUUUGUGAUAAAAAAAGGGGGAGGCUGUUGGGCUAAGUGAAAUUUAAUCAAGUGAGAUUUCAUUCAUACUUCAUCAACUGACGCAUGUUUUACAGAUUUUUUACUUUUGCUUACCGUGUGUUAUCACCAGUUUUUAUAUAUAAUAACUGAUUAUAACACGCUCAAAAUUCAAAUAAAUGUUGUUUCUUAGAGGUUUAUUCUUAACUUUGAAAUGUUGUCCAUCCCUGGUAUGUAAAUGUCAAGAUUAUGAUUAGCUUUGAUAUUGUUAAUUUCUGUUGAAAAACAGAAUUAGAUUGAGCUUUAGAAAUGAAUGAGAUGCAGAAGUGUAUUGGAGGUUACUUAGUAUCUAAUAAUCGUAAGUGAUGACAAAACUCUUUCUCUUAAUGUGAACUGAAGUAAUUUCCUUCAAGUCUGUCAGCCUGUGUAAGAUGAUGACCCACUUUCUAGUUCUGUCCAUAUGAAAUGUAUGAAAUGAAGUGUAUGUACACCUGUCAGGUAAUUCUUCAUUUUUGAUAUCUAAAUCUAAUGAAACUGGAACUUGUUUGUGUCUGGUGGGAUAUCCUUUAUUUUCUAUUUCAGUACGCAUGGCAAGUGUUGUUGAAUAAAGCUUUAAAAUGUUAGAUCUUGUUUUUUUUUUAAUGCAACAUGCUUUGAAUCAGUUUAUCAGUUUAUAAAAUUGUAUUUCCUUCUUAAAGGUUACAAUUAAUUGUAACUUCACAAUACUAUAAAUAUUUAUAAAUUUACAUUUUAAUCAAUUUCCUUUCCCUUUAUUCAAAAUAAAUCAUUGAGAAUACAAAAUUUACAGCGAUCCCUGUUCUAUCUAUUAUACAUAUUCGUAACCUUAUUUAAAAGGCAUUUAGAAUCUAUCUAUUUAUAAUCUAGUUGAUUUAAUCUUAAAUUUCUCUUUAAUCUUCUAUGCUGAGCAUCAUCAACAAAUGGCUAAGUGUUAAUUAAAAAAUACAAGUUUUGAGUAAAUUUCAUUUGUUUUAUUUGGAGAUGUGUAUAAAAUAAAUUAAAUCAUACUCGUUCUAGGUUUGUUCGAUGCUUUUGAAAAUAAAUGUUUUUAAAUCUUUUAAGGCGAAGCUUAAAGUUUAAUGCUUUGAAGAACAAACUCAAUAAACUGAAAAUAUAUUUCUGGAUAUUUGUAAUAUGUUUGAGCAGUUCAGCAUCGUAUCAAUUUUUCCUGAGUGGUUCUCUUAGACAUUUUAUAAGAUUAUAGUGAAUUGAAUUAAUUUAUUAAGAACCAUUUUUGGUUUAGUUACCUAGAAUUAAAUUAUCUGUUUCCUGAAGUAAAUUCUACUGCACGUGUACAGUGUUCUGGCUAAAUUCCAGUCUUCUGCCAUUUGAUAUUUCGUUAUGUACGAUCGCAUUUUUAUUGCUUCAUUUUCUUGCACUAUAAAGUUACUCAUCACAGUUCAGAGUAAACUUCUGCAAAGCGCUUUUAUUAAUCAUAAAAUAUUGUUUCGAUUUUUCUUGAGAGCACUGAAAAUCUUUGCUAUCCUUAACAAUUCUAUAACAAUUUUAAUACUUCGAGCUUAUCUAAUCAUCCAAGUAUUUCAAUUCGUCAUAAAUCUUUGUUUUUAUUUUUUCAGUAACAAUAUGAAAAUUAAAUUUCCACUGAUUAUUUAAUAUGUUUACGAAACGUAUAAAAUUAGUUUUUAUAUUAUUCUUUGCACAGUGUUUCUUGCAAGCCUCAAUUUGGUUUGUUGCUUUAUGAUUUGAAUGAGGAUAUUCAUUUGUAUUUGUGCCUGUACAUACUGUAUUUACAUAAAACUGUAUAUGAUUGUUCAUAUAAAGCAUAUGUGUUUUAUUCCCCCCUUUUUUUUCAAAUUCGUUUAAAGUAUCAAUGUAUUGAAAUGCUUAAGUAGUUAAGACAUGUCCAAGUUUUAAUUUGUUCUGAAACAGUUUGCAACACACUGGUGGUGAUGAAUUUUAAGUUACUGUGACGGUAUGUUAAUGUGUAAAUAUUGCAUGAAAAAGAUGUGUAUAGUUUCUUCCCCAUGUUUUUAUGUUUUAGUCAGAAUGUUAAAUGAGAUUAGUCUGAAAUAUUGCAAAUAUUGUGCUCACCGGAUCUGAUACAGGGAUGUUAAAUAAACACGACAGUUAAGCAAUCUUCAAUUUUGUAUUAAAUGUAUGCAUAUAUAAUAACUCCAAAGAAAUGUGUUAGAGAUAGUGAUCACUUUCCUGAAGUUUGUUGCGGAAAGUCUAAACUUUCUUCAGAUAGAGCUUGAUUGCAGUUGUAAAUAAUGCAUAGAACUACUGUUAUACUAGUAAUUACUGUUAAAGCUUUAUGUAGCUAACCCCUUGAUUUUAGGUUUUGUGUCAUUUUAUCUCUUUAUUUUGCUGCUACAUGCUUUUUGUUUUACCGUCUGCUUGUGCUAAAAAUAAAUAAAUAAUUUUAUGUUAGGAAGCUACUAGAAAAUAAUUCUUUUUUAUUCCUUGUAUAUCAAUAGAUGGUUUGAAUAAAUGUUAGCUGAACAACUUAAGGUCGAGAAUGGAUAUUUCAUUAUCUUUAUGUAAUGCUGUUGUAUAUAAAAUUAGAUUAAGUGCGAUUUAUACAGUUUAUAAAUUUUAAAUGUUAUAGUCUCAUUGCUUUAAUUGUCAGUUUUACAGCUAUCUAUGAAUUCUCACUGUGUAAUCUGCCUUUGAAACUAAUCAUUUUGGACCAAAUGGCCUUUUGGCAGUUACUUAUAAUCAGCUUGUCAUGUACUCCAUAAUGACCUUGACUAGAUUCUAGCGAUCAUGUUUAAGUUUUAUUUGAUGUCUGUCAUUUUAAAGAAAAGUUUCUGGGAAAAAAACCUUUAUGCAUGUAGAGAAUAAGAAGUUUUCAGUUUCAAACUACUACUUUCUGAGAAACUUUCCUCUCUUGGUAACUUUUCUGUAAUUUGGAAUAAAAAUCUAGUUUGUAUAUCAUUUACUCUUAUUGAAGAAAUGAGAGACAUUUUCUGUCUUUAUUACUUUUUAUAUCUGAAUGAAAAUUAUCUUCAUCAUCAGUGAUUAGGUAGGAAAAAGAAUAAAAUUGCAAGUGCAUGCUAGAAGUAUAUUAAGAAUCUCUUUAUACUUAGCUACAAACAAUAUUUCCUAUCCUCAUUGUCAUUUUACAAGAUCACAUUAUAGUAUGACCGAUUCUGAAAUACAAAAAAGAACGGGAUCCUUUCGAACUUCGUAUGUUGGUACUGUAUAAAUUGCUGAUUUGCUGAAAUUUUGCUUUCAGCUGAAUAGUGUUGGUAAUUAACCCACUGAGCACAUGUGUGUCUUAAGAUUUUGCAAGUGUAAUUAUUUCUUCAUUUGUCAUCAAGGACUAAAUUGCACAAAGUGAAAAGAUGACAAAAGUCGCCUUAAAAGGUAUUGAUAGUUACAGAAAAUGUGAAGAGCUGUUUCACAUUUCAAUAAUUUGUGGAAUUUCGAAGAAUGAUUGGAAUUCAAAGAAAACCGUUAGUUUAUAAUAAAUUUGAAUGUCGUUGUAGUUUGUCUGCCAAACAUUGUCUUACCAAAAUUAAUUGUUUAUUACAGACAGAAUAAAUCGAUGAACGGGAAUCCAUUUGCUAUCCUGUUGCUAAAUCGAUGAACGGGAAUCCAUUUGCUCCAUUGUCACCGAAUGUUUCUAUAAUGCAUUUAUUAUAACUUUUCAUUAAAAUUUUUCUGUCACCUAUGUCCAAAUACAUGGUUUGUAUUUCAAGUAAUGAACUUCGAUUUCGGGUUCUUGCUUCUGUUUUUAAAUUUUUUUUAAUCGAAUUUUUGGUCUAAUUUAUAUUUUAAUGGAAACUGAUGAUAAUUAGCAGAUAAUGCCAAAGAGUUUCAUAUUACCUAUGUUGAAUAUUUUAAUUAUAAAUUGUAAGUAAGUUUUAUUAUUGAACAUACUUAUCAGUAUUAUAAAUUUUCGUACACUACAGAAGCCGUUUCGCAUAAUUCAUAUCGUUGAUUAUAUUUUCGUCUUUUUGCAUGUAUUUCUAAAUAUUUCAUUUACUGAUAAAUCAAAAGUGCCAAUUUUUAUCGAAUUUAUAAGCAGUCGAACAAAAAUCAUUGUAAUAUCGAAUGAAAAGCACUAACCAAAUAAAAGUUACUCAUAUAUUGGAGAUCACAGUUACACUUAAUUAAUAUAUCUGUUGAGUUUUAUAAACUGUGGUAUAAAUUAUCUAGUAUUUUAUUCUUGUCAUUUCUCUCCAGUGCUAACUGUUGGUAUAAAUAACACUUUAACAAAUUGACAAGCCUUUGAAAAAUGGUAACUUUUAAAGUUUUUAAUGUUAUUUAUCAGCGUAAUGUCCAUGAGAUGCAUCUUGAUUUAUGAUUUUAUGUUUAUGGCUCUCCAAUUUUAGAGGCCUCUGAAAGAUUAUUCCUUUUUAUUUCAGCAAUUAAACUUUAAUUUUUCGUGUUGCUUGGCAUAUGUGCAUAGUAAUUUUCAAGUUAAAAGAAAUAGAAUAGAUUUUUAAAUUUUGUAUGCUUGAUUUCUGUUUAAAUGUAUUGCUUUUUUGAAAUUAGUAAUGAAUUGCAAUUGUGGAGUAUAUGUUUCCUUUUAUGUAACAAAGCAGUCAACUGCCGAUAAAAUGUAUUAAAGCCUGAAGAAAGCACAACUUGUGGACUAAAAUGUGGUGAAUUCGAGGAUUAUAAUAUGACGAUUUUUUUAAUGUGACUCACAUAUUAUCUUGGCUAUUUAUCUGUCAGAUACUACAUCUCAGCCCAAAAGUUGUGCUUUAUAGCAAUCAGAUGGUAAUUAUUUACAAUGAAGUGUAUUGUUCAGUAUCUCAGGUAUGUAUUUUGCUGAGCUAUAGCUUAUUUAAAUUUUAAUUCUUUAAAAUAAAAAAUUUUCAAUUUGUCUUUGAAUAUUAACUAACAGUUACAGGCAUUACUUUGUAAAACAAGUAAUCUAUAUUAAGUCGAGAUUAAGAUACAUUUUUUUGGAAUAGUAUUUAUUUCUUAUUUGCAAAACUGAAACUUCAUUUGUGCCUGUGAAAAUUUAAACCAAUCUUUUCGUUUGAAAAUUUUACCGAUGAAUCAGAACUGUGCAUUACCCUGUUAAAUGUUUUCAUCGAGCUGGAUUCAAAAAGUUAAUAUUAGAUUAACAAUAAGGAAAUAUACGACAUCCAUGUUAUAGAAUAUUUAAGAAGUUAGAAAAGUGCAAGAAUUUUUUUAUAUUUGUUUUCUAUAAAUAAAUUGUAAAAUUCGAUUAAUGUCGAUUUUUGAAAGACGGUAAAAAUAAAAUUUAAAUCAUCUGCAGUUCAGGAAUGUUGUUCUUGUAAAUUUAAGUCUUUUGAUUUUUGUAUGGAAGGAAUAUAAAUCUUUAUUUCACAAUCAUCAGUGUAAAUCUUUGGGCUUCCUCUAAGAACGUGAAUUACCCAGAAAAAGUAAUUUUCGAGUUUCUGUGCUUUCUGAUAACAAAUUAAGUUAUUGGAAUAAGAAUAAAAGACCAGUGUCAACUUUUUUAGGGUUCACAAGAUCAUGAGUGAUAUUUAUUUCAUCCAAAUCAAAACAAAAUUUAUUCAGUGCUUUAUUUUUAAUAAUAAUGUUUCUCUUCGUGCCGUUUAUAAAAACUUAAAUCGUCUUUAACUGAUUUUUAUAAAGAAACUCAAGUGCUGUUAAACAAAGAAAUAUAUUAGUGUCGGGCAAAGUAACACAGAAGAAAUGAAUUAAUGUAAAUAAAGUAACUUCGAAAAGAAUAGAAAAGUAUGAAAAAAAAAAUCAGGCCGUCAUAGCAUGUAAAAUGCUAUCUGUCUCAAUUUCCUGCUUUCUUUCCUUUGUUUCAUUUUGUUUUAUUUAUACAGACGUAUGCACAUAGUAAAGCUCUUUAAUGAAGCAGUAGGAAAUACAAAUAUUUGUUUAUUACAUUUUCGUAAGCAGGCGUAUUAUUUAGUAGUCAACAAAUGUGCUGUUGUAACUGCAUUGAUUACAUAUAGGAUAGUGAGAAAGAUAGAACAGUGCUGUUGAUAACGGUGCAGAACUUUCUUAUUAACAUUUUUAUUUUAAAAUUAAAUGGAUAUUAUUUAUUUUAAUGUUUCUUUACCGCUUUAUUUAUUUAAGUUGUAUUUCUUGUAAUUUUGAGCUUCCAAGGUUUUGAAAAGUGGAAUAAUAAUGUUAAUAACAUUGUGUUCUUUCUGCUAUUCUUGAUAUGUUCAAAGUACCAGAGCAGUUUGAAAAUGGUCUUCUUGAGGAGAGAUGAAAACUUAGGAUUGAUUUCAAGAGUCUGAAAAAUCGAAUAAUCCGAAUAUCUUCUUAUCCAGUUAGUCCGAAUUAGCACAGGUUUGCUAUGCAUUUUGUUGUUACAGAUGUGCGCGUUUCGUCGUGUAGAUGACAGUGUUAUAUAUCUAUUUGCGACGCAUUAAUGAUGAUUCUUGAUGGCUUUAUUGAUAAUGAUUACUAUAUCUUUUUUUAGUGAAUUUUUAAACUUAUUUUCUAAUAAUUUAGAUUCAAGUAUUUUGGUAUUAAAUUACUAUAAUGGUACAAAUGUAGUUUCAGUUAAUAAAGUUUUGUUAUUCGUAUGUAUCUGUAAAUGGUUGUGAAAUUUUAUUAUGGAAUAUUUAUUUACAUACUUAACUUAUAUGUACCAUAUCUAAUGUUUGUGAUAUGCCGAAUUGUUCCUUUUCGAAGAGUUAAUAUUACACAUAGACUGAAAUUUUAAGUUCGAGUCAGAAAUUUUCUGCUAAGCUUCGAUUCUUGCAGUGUGCUUGCUUAUAAUGUACAAUCGAUAAGUAAAUAUGCAACGUGCUCUUUUGUAGCAUUGCGAGGGUUCUGAAUUCCCCCUCGUGGUGCUGGUCUUGCCUUUGUCUAUGUGAUAAGCUGCCUUGUAGUUAUGUCAUGUGUUUUGUGAAUAAAUAUUAAAAGCUUCAAUAAUUUGCAAUGUUAAAUACGUGUCAAAAAUAAAAAGCGAAUGUUUGAAUAAAA